Molecule: ribosomal RNA, 474 nt
Filed under: uncultured bacterium
Lineage: Bacteria
Description: bacterial SSU rRNA
Rfam family: Bacterial small subunit ribosomal RNA
Source: RNAcentral
AGGACGAACGCUGGCGGCGUGCCUAACACAUGCAAGUCGAGCGAGGAGAUCCUUCGGGAUGAUCCUAGCGGCGGACGGGUGAGUAACACGUGGGCAACCUGCCUCAUAGAGAGGAAUAGCCUUCCGAAAGGGAGAUUAAUACCUCAUAACAUUGCAGUUUCGCAUGGAACAGCAAUUAAGGAGUAAUCCGCUAUGAGAUGGGCCCGCGGCGCAUUAGCUAGUUGGUGAGGUAACGGCUCACCAAGGCGACGAUGCGUAGCCGACCUGAGAGGGUGAUCGGCCACAUUGGGACUGAGACACGGCCCAGACUCCUACGGGAGGCAGCAGUGGGGAAUAUUGCACAAUGGGGGAAACCCUGAUGCAAGCAACGCCGCGUGAGUGAUGACGGCCUUCGGGUUGUAAAGCUCUGUCUUCAGGGGCGAUAAUGACGGUACCUGAGGAGGAAGCCACGGCUAACUACGUGCCAGCCGCAGC